UGGAGUAUAGUUUAAUAGUAGAAUACUUGCCUAAUAUGAGCAAGGUCUUAGGUUCAAAUCCUAAUACAACAA
RNAcentral lists this transfer RNA (72 nucleotides) under Cricetulus griseus (Chinese hamster). It matches the Rfam family "tRNA". Rfam says of the family: Transfer RNA (tRNA) molecules are approximately 80 nucleotides in length. Their secondary structure includes four short double-helical elements and three loops (D, anti-codon, and T loops). Further hydrogen bonds mediate the characteristic L-shaped molecular structure. tRNAs have two regions of fundamental functional importance: the anti-codon, which is responsible for specific mRNA codon recognition, and the 3' end, to which the tRNAs corresponding amino acid is attached (by aminoacyl-tRNA synthetases). tRNAs cope with the degeneracy of the genetic code in two manners: having more than one tRNA (with a specific anti-codon) for a particular amino acid; and 'wobble' base-pairing, i.e. permitting non-standard base-pairing at the 3rd anti-codon position. Lineage: Eukaryota; Metazoa; Chordata; Mammalia; Rodentia; Cricetidae. The record is from Rfam by way of RNAcentral.